UAGGGAAUCUUUGGCAAUGGGGGCAACCCUGACCGAGCAACGCCGCGUGAGUGAAGAAGGUUUUCGGAUCGUAAAGCUCUGUUGUAAGAGAAGAACGUGUGUGAGAGUGGAAAGUUCACACAGUGACGGUAACUUACCAGAAAGGGACGGCUAACUACGUGCCAG
This 165-nucleotide ribosomal RNA is filed under the name uncultured bacterium. Its description in RNAcentral is "partial 16S rRNA". It matches the Rfam family "Bacterial small subunit ribosomal RNA", at positions 355 to 511 of the family's 1533-position model. The record is from RNAcentral.